Molecule: transfer RNA, 73 nt
Filed under: Apaloderma vittatum (bar-tailed trogon)
Lineage: Eukaryota; Metazoa; Chordata; Aves; Trogoniformes; Trogonidae
Rfam family: tRNA
About the family: Transfer RNA (tRNA) molecules are approximately 80 nucleotides in length. Their secondary structure includes four short double-helical elements and three loops (D, anti-codon, and T loops).
Source: Rfam by way of RNAcentral
GGCCAGUUAGCUCAGUCAGUUAGAGUGUGGUGCUGAUAACAUCAAGGUCGUGAGUUCGAUCCCCUUUUGGUCC